Molecule: ribosomal RNA, 429 nt
Filed under: Gemmatimonadota bacterium
Lineage: Bacteria; Pseudomonadati; Gemmatimonadota
Description: Gemmatimonadetes bacterium partial 16S ribosomal RNA
Rfam family: Bacterial small subunit ribosomal RNA
Source: RNAcentral
UAGGGAAUCUUCGGCAAUGGACGAAAGUCUGACCGAGCAACGCCGCGGGAGUGAAGAAGGUUUUCGGAUCGUAAAACUCUGUUGUUAGAGAAGAACAAGGACGUUAGUAACUGAACGUCACCUGACGGUAUCUAACCAGAAAGCCACGGCUAACUACGUGCCAGCAGCCGCGGUAAUACGUAGGUGGCAAGCGUUGUCCGGAUUUAUUGGGCGUAAAGCGAGCGCAGGCGGUUUCUUAAGUCUGAUGUGAAAGCCCCCGGCUCAACCGGGGAGGGUCAUUUGAAACUGGGCGACUUGAGUGCAGAAGAGGAGAGUUGAAUUCCAUGUGUAGCGGUGACAUGCGUAGAUAUAUGGAGGAACACCAGUUGCGAAGGCGGCUCUCUGGUCUGUAACUGACGCUGCGGCUCGAAAGCGUGGGGAGCAAACAGG